Molecule: microRNA precursor, 109 nt
Filed under: Notamacropus eugenii (tammar wallaby)
Lineage: Eukaryota; Metazoa; Chordata; Mammalia; Diprotodontia; Macropodidae
Description: microRNA 181b-1 (ENSMEUG00000017378.1)
Rfam family: mir-181 microRNA precursor family (bases 24-105)
About the family: In this case the mature sequence comes from the 5' arm of the precursor. The extents of the hairpin precursors are not generally known and are estimated based on hairpin prediction. The products are thought to have regulatory roles through complementarity to mRNA.
Source: RNAcentral
CCUGCCCAGCUUUAUUUUUCAAAAGGUCACAAUCAACAUUCAUUGCUGUCGGUGGGUUUAACUGUGUGGACAAGCUCACUGAACAAUGAAUGCAACUGUGGCCCCACUU